CCCCGCCCCCGGCCCCGCCCCCGGCCCCGCCCCCGCCGGGCCGCUCGGCGUGCGCGCCCCCGGGUGCCAGACGCUGCGUGCGCGCCCAGAACCGAACACUCACCCCCCCCCCCCCCCCCCCCGAGCGCCCAACUCCCCGCCUUCCCCAGCCUCAGUGUCUCCACCUGAGUGAUGGGGACAGUUCGUCCUGUGCGGCGUGGCCGCUUGAACUCACUGAGUUCACUGCUGUGAAUUAUCUGGCUCCCCUCCCCGCCACCUGCCGGUAAGGCUCCGUUAGUCGCUGCGUUUUACAGAGGAGGAAACUGAAGCAUGGAUCCUAAAGCCGCUCGACUAGAGCCUCCUGGAGUCCCAGAAGCAGCCUGCGGGCCAGGAGGUUGAGGGCGGGGGGACGAAAUAAAGCGAAAGCCCAGCACCACAGUGCGGCGGCGCCCAGAGGUCCUCUGCAGGCUCCUGUGUUGCAAAGAAAGAAGGGAUUAGAACUUCCAGGCCAGGAGCUUGCCUCAAUUACAGCCGUGUCCCUGCACCAUGUGCCUGGCAUACUGUAGGUGGCCCACUAAUGAUCAUCAGAGACCAGGAUUUCUCCAAAAACUGCCAGAGAGAGAAAGCUGAGUUUCUGGCCCCAUCAUCAGAAAACAGGGCUAGACCUUGGACUCGGGUCGCUGACAUCUCAUUCCAAGCAGCCUUGGCACCGGAUUAGCUUGGGUGCUGACUCAAAGGCCAUCUGCCUCUGGCCCCAGCCUCAGAAUACCCAGGGCAGAGCUCCUCGGACUGGCCUGGAGCCCUGAUUUGCAAGCUCAGACCAGAGGUCACAUACUCAGUGGCUAUUUUGGUCUCUGGCAGCUUCAGGUAGAAUUCAGAAAAUCUGAGAGCCGGCUUGCACCAGCUGUGCGAACAAGAGCCAAGCCAAGUGGGAGAAGGGAACAGAACAAAAAUCUCCCCACGAUCACGUUUCGUAACUCAAACAUUGUCAGAAGUGUCUGCACAUGUUGCUAGAAGCCAGGGUUGUGAAGGGAGGGAAGCCACAUCACUUGCCCUCAUCCCAAUGUACAAAAGGAAGGACACCUGUAUAACAUCCAGAGUCAGCGCUGAUGGGGAGAAACUGAGUCACACAGUACUGCUGAGAGCGAGUGGAAGAAAGGCCCAGCAACACCAGGGGAUAGAUGAAGAGGCAGGGAGAAAUGGAGGGCUCCUUAAAAAAAAAAAAAAAACCGGGGGGGGCAAGAUAAUUACAUUGGAAAGCCAAGCCCUAAAGCACUGCUGUGGAAAAGCUUGGCAGUUCCUCAAAAAGUUAAGCCUAGUGAUCAUAGGACCAGCAAUUCCACUCCUAGGUAUAAACUCAAAAUAAUUGACAAUAGGUGUUCAAACAAAUACUUGUGCGUGAUUGUUCAUGACAACGUUAUUCGAUUGCCCGAAGGUCUGU
This is a long non-coding RNA of Leopardus geoffroyi (Geoffroy's cat), 1420 nucleotides long. RefSeq lists it as uncharacterized. Lineage: Eukaryota; Metazoa; Chordata; Mammalia; Carnivora; Felidae. The transcript has 2 exons. The record is from RefSeq and is a predicted model, not a curated record.